RNAcentral lists this ribosomal RNA (438 nucleotides) under uncultured bacterium. Its description in RNAcentral is "bacterial SSU rRNA". It matches the Rfam family "Bacterial small subunit ribosomal RNA", at positions 339 to 794 of the family's 1533-position model. The record is from RNAcentral.
GUACGGGAGGCAGCAGUGGGGAAUCUUGCACAAUGGGCGAAAGCCUGAUGCAGCGACGCCGCGUGGAGGAUGAAGGCCUUCGGGUUGUAAACUCCUUUUCUUGGGAAAGAUAGUGACGGUACCCAAGGAAUAAGCCACGGCUAACUCUGUGCCAGCAGCCGCGGUAAGACAGAGGUGGCAAGCGUUGUUCGGAAUCACUGGGCUUAAAGGGCGAGUAGGCGGUGGAACAAGUCUGAGGUGGAAUCUUAGGGCUUAACCCUAAAACUGCCUUAGAAACUGUUUCACUUGAGUCAAUGAGGGGAGGGCGGAAUUCCUGGUGUAGCGGUGAAAUGCGUAGAUAUCAGGAGGAAGGCCUGUGGCGAAAGCGGCCCUCUGGCAUUGCACUGACGCUGAGGCGCGAAAGCGUGGGGAGCAAACAGGAUUAGAUACCCCGGUAGG